Molecule: small RNA, 178 nt
Filed under: Salmonella enterica subsp. enterica serovar Enteritidis
Lineage: Bacteria; Pseudomonadati; Pseudomonadota; Gammaproteobacteria; Enterobacterales; Enterobacteriaceae
Description: RtT sRNA
Rfam family: RtT RNA
About the family: This family represents a bacterial cis-regulatory element known as RtT RNA.
Source: RNAcentral
AUAUCUCUCCGUACGGGAAGGAUGAGAAGCUUCGACUAAGGUUCGAUUCGAGCGCAGCGAGAAAGCGUUGCCGCAGGCAACGACCCGAAGGGUGAAGCGCGCAGCGAGAAAGCGUUGCCGCAGGCAACGACCCGAAGGGUGAAGCGCGCAGCGCUGAGUAAUCCUUCCCCCACCACCA